RNAcentral lists this ribosomal RNA (253 nucleotides) under uncultured bacterium. RNAcentral describes it as "partial 16S ribosomal RNA". It matches the Rfam family "Bacterial small subunit ribosomal RNA", at positions 524 to 776 of the family's 1533-position model. The record is from RNAcentral.
UACAGAGGUCUCGAGCGUUAGGCGGAAUCACUGGGCUUAAAGCGUGUGUAGGCGGCUCGGUAAGUACCUUGUGAAAUCCCACAGCCUAACUGUGGAACUGCUUGGUAUACUGCCGGUCUUGAGCCAGCUAGGGGCUACCGGAACAAAUGGUGGAGCGGUGAAAUGCGUAGAUAUCAUUUGGAACGCCAAUGGUGAAAACAGGUAGCUGGGGCUGUGCUGACGCUGAGACACGAAAGCCAGGGGAGCAAACGGG